AAUCAUGCGCAGAGUGUAAAGGCACAAGCGAGCUUGACUGCGAGACAGACAGGUCGAGCAGGGACGAAAGUCGGGCUUAGUGAUCCGGUGGUUCCGUAUGGAAGGGCCAUCGCUCAACGGAUAAAAGCUACCCUGGGGAUAACAGGCUUAUCUCCCCCAAGAGUCCACAUCGACGGGGAGGUUUGGCACCUCGAUGUCGGCUCAUCGCAUCCUGGGGCUGUAGUCGGUCCCAAGGGUUGGGCUGUUCGCCCAUUAAAGCGGUACGCGAGCUGGGUUCAGAACGUCGUGAGACAGUUCGGUCCCUAUCCGUCGCGGGCGUAGGAAAUUUGAGAGGACCUGUCCUUAGUACGAGAGGACCGGGAUGGACAUACCGCUGGUGUACCAGUUGUUCCGCCAGGAGCACYGCUGGGUAGCUAUGUAUGGACGAGAUAAACGCUGAAAGCAUCUAAGUGUGAAACUCGCCUCGAGAUGAGAUUUCCCAUUUCCUUCGGGAAAGUAAGACCCCUCAGAGAUGAUGAGGUAGAUAGGAUGGAAGUGGAAGUGCCGUGAGGCAUGGAGCGGACCAUUACUAAUCGGUCGAGGACUUAACCAAG
This 593-nucleotide ribosomal RNA is filed under the name Limosilactobacillus reuteri. Its description in RNAcentral is "bacterial LSU rRNA". It matches the Rfam family "Bacterial large subunit ribosomal RNA", at positions 2336 to 2925 of the family's 2925-position model. Lineage: Bacteria; Bacillati; Bacillota; Bacilli; Lactobacillales; Lactobacillaceae. The record is from RNAcentral.